Molecule: transfer RNA, 58 nt
Filed under: Mus musculus (house mouse)
Lineage: Eukaryota; Metazoa; Chordata; Mammalia; Rodentia; Muridae
Rfam family: tRNA
About the family: Transfer RNA (tRNA) molecules are approximately 80 nucleotides in length. Their secondary structure includes four short double-helical elements and three loops (D, anti-codon, and T loops).
Source: Rfam by way of RNAcentral
UGGCUCAGUGGUUAAGAGCACUGACUGCUCUUCCAGAGGCCCUGGGUUCAAUUCCCAG